RNAcentral lists this long non-coding RNA (4141 nucleotides) under Homo sapiens (human). RNAcentral describes it as "PREDICTED lncRNA (TCONS_00147594)". Lineage: Eukaryota; Metazoa; Chordata; Mammalia; Primates; Hominidae. The record is from RNAcentral.
AAACAAUUAGAAACUUUAUUUGUCUGUGUCAGUAAUAUGUACCAUUUAUAAGGAAGAGCACAAUUAGUGCAUUUCCCGCCCCCCCCCCAAGCUGUGCACAAUACACACAAAAUAAAAUAAUUUUACACAACUAUAAUAAUAACAAUCCUGAACAACCAGAAUCAUAGUUUCCUAGAACAUGAAAAUUUAAAAAGCAAACAAACCAAAAAGCUUUCAAAUUGAAAUCGACCAAUGCAAGAAUUUCUUAAAGUUCUCUGUGAAAAUUUGCUACAGGAUUAUUGACAUUCCUAAUACAGCUAAAAAAUGAGUGCAAAAAUUUUUCUAAUGUUUAAACAACUUAUAUUCCUUGAAUAUAUUUACUUGGUGCUUCUAGGCUAGCUUUCCAUUUAGCAAUUCUCAAAAAAAAAAAAAAUAAGGAUGGGAAGGAUGGGUUAGAAUGACAAAGAAUUGUAAAGUGUGGGCCAUAGAAAAGUUCCAUUGCCAACAAAGAUAAAAGAUGGGAUACACUGGGCUUUCUCAGUGAUCUGGAUCACCAACAUGAUUGCCCUUCUUGGUUUAAAAUGGAGAGAUAUAUUUAUCUGCAAGUCGGUCAAAGAUAAAGAGGGUGGUUUUCCAAACAUAUGCCUUAUGCUCUCUUAGUUAAAGAAAUUCUUGGGUAUAAAUACAAUUUGGACAAUUGCUUUGAUACAGUUUCAGUGUGUUUAUGUUAAAAGAGUUUCAUAAUUGUUUUUUCUUGCAAGAUAAAAAUCUUUCCAUAUGGCUUUCUUCACUUUUACUCAUGAAAAUAGUAAUCACAUAAACUGUAACCCUUCUGAGGGCAGGGAUCUAGACUGUUUUGUUCAUGGCUUAGUCCCCAGAAAGUAUCAUACUACCUGGCACAUUAAGUGGGUAACCAGCAUUUAAUUACUCAUUCAGUCACCAAAUGUUUAUUAAAUGAGGAAGGAUCAUGGUUACUGAGUGACAGAAGAAAAAAUAAGUCUCAACAGCUUUAAUUUAUUAAGUAUUUUUGAAUCAAUACAGAGGGCUAGGAAUGUCUCCAGCCUGGGAUUCCUUAUAGACACAGAAGUCUCCGAGAGGUGACCAAAGUCAUUCUAUUAUUUUUCUCAUUAGUGGACUCACUACUUUGGAAUGUUGGGUUUAUCCAUGUUCUUUGGUAUUUUAACAUAGAAACAGCUAUUCUUUUUAAAGGGUUAAAAAUAUCCCAGUCCAAUCCUCCUGGGAGGUACUAGUCUUAUUUAAUUGCCUUCUCUUUCAGCAUAAGUAGAGGAGACAACACUUUUAAAGGCCCGUUGGUCACCCUGGCUUCUUUCUUACUCAGCAACUACUGAUAUAAUCAAAGAGGACUAGACUGGACAGUGAAAGAAACAGGGCUCAAAAUAGCCUUUUAAGUAAAAAAAUAAAAUGAACAAACCAGCACUAUCUACCAUCUGUGCCAGACAGUGCAGAUGUGAAAUAAAUACUUUGCAGGGAGGGGUGUUGUGGAAAGGGUGGCUCUGAAAGCCUAGGCACAUCCAACAUAUCAACGUCUCUAUAAGGCCUUUCUCCUUGGCCUUCCUGAAUUAAUGGGUGAUUUUUAGAGGCCUCUGAUGUGUUCCACAUGGCUAAUUUUCCAUGAAGAUCUUUGUAGUUUGCCUGCUAUCCUCUCAAUAGCUUUAACUUCUCCCCACAUGACAGUUAUUGCUUCUUAGAAAUGAAUGUGCAGAACCGUGAACAAUAAUCCAUUUUCUCCUUUUAUCCCUAGUAAUUAAUCAAACUCAAUAACAGCACAAAAGUAACAACUCAGGUGAAAAGAAAACUCACUUAUGUCUUCAAUGUCCAAUCAACAUUGCCAAAUGGGAGAACAGUAUGUACUAUACUCUACUAUAUACAGAUACUCUUUGUUUUGUUUUAUUUGUUUUUCACCAUGCACUGUGUAACAGGUAUCACAACAACAUUUCCGAACGGCACAUGAAGAAGGAGCAAAUGUUCAGUCAUGACUGGAACAGGAUUGUGCAAGCCAUGGAUGCCUUUGAAAAUAAAACUGACAGACAAUCCCAAGCAACGGCAACAUGGGACUGAGACACAUGUUAAUGCAAAUGGAAAACGAUGAUGUGCUUUUUGAAUGGGGUUAUUCUUACUGUUUGCAUAGGGGAUGGCAGGUGGACAGGAGGAACAGGGUUGGGAUGGGGCACCUGGGGGCUUAGCUGGGCUGAAUGCUGGAAGAAGGACCUUGCCAAUCACAGUCCAGAGCUAAAGAGAUAAGAAAGAAAGGAUUUUGCACGUUCCUGGGAAUCUAGGCACGUUUUCCUUGUACCUGUUAAACGAGACUGCCAGGUAUCACAUGUUUAAAUAUCAGACUAUUUCUAGAACCAUCGGAUUUCCUGGCUCCAUUCCACUUUUAUGCUUCUUCUUGGAGGCAGCUUCACCUCCACUCACAUUCCGGAGAUAAGCAUGAACUUUGGUAAUACGAUGAAGACAUGCUUCUUUCUUCUUCCAUGCCCAGAUUUUUUCUUAAUCCAAAAUAAGUUUUAAAGUGAUUGGGGGAGGUGAGGGGGAAUACUAAUGAUUUAAAUUUUUACCAAAACCCAUUUACAUUUGGAUGGUUUCACUUUCCACAAAGAAAAGCAACAACCCUGACUCUCCCAAAAAAACAAAACAAAACAAAAUAACAAAAAUAAAGCCAAACAUUAACUACCUCCCCAGCUCCACUGAAAACAAAACCAAAAACAAAACAAAUCAAAGCCUUAAGGAUUUAUCAACCUGGAGAGAGUGCAGCCCUUCUAGACUGAGCUGCAAAGAUGGCCCUGCCUCCAUGCCUUGUUGAACAUGAUGAUGCCCCUGGGAAUGGGAGGUGAUGGUUUUUUACUUCGGCCCUAGUACAGAGUAUGCUCUUGAAGCUGGAUUCCAUCAGCAGGAAUCACUAGGUACUUCUAAAUCACUGGAGAGUCAAUCUGAAGUCAGAUGCAUACUCCCUGAAUAUUAGUCUUUCAGCUCUCAAAUCUCCAGGCAGCCUCUAUUGAUUGAUCUGAGUUGGCAGAUGAGUUGGCAGGUCUCUACUUUGAGUUAGAUGACUUCAGAAAUGAUCACACAUUUCAUGUCAAAUUUCCAGGCCUCAAAUUCCUGUUCCCAGUGAUAUGAGUACCCACAGAUAAUUCACUGGUUUUGGAAAUCACUAGUGGGUAAAAAAGACCAAUUUGCAACUAGGCUCUCAUGCUCUGUUGAAAACUAUGUCACAAUAUCACAAUACUAGAUGCUGGGCUCAAGACAGCAAACAGAAAGCAGCAAGGGCAGUGACUGGAAGCUGGGAGAGAGGGUCAACAGCUGAAUCUCAGCCUGAUGGAGGCCACCAUUUAAUAAGUAAAUACAUGCACGGCUAUUUAGAUCCUGCAUCAGACAGGUCAUCAGAAAACAUGAAGCUAAAUGCAGUAAAGAAUUACUCUCUUGAACUCUUGAAAAUAUCAAAAACAUGAAGCUAAAUGCAGUAAAGAAUUAGUCUCUUGAACUCUUGAAAAUAUCAUUUUCUUAUAGAAAUGGUUUAAAAAUUUCUUUUUUAUUAUUUCUAAUUUUCCUUCAGAAAAUUGUGAGUUUUAACCUACAACACAUACACUCCAAGGUAAUGCCACUCUAAUGCUGUCUAGUUGAUCUGAAUAACUAACUGGUCAAUUAUCAGAUCCACCAAACUGUCUCUCUGGAGAUUAACUUCUGCCAGCAUAUUGGUUUCUGUUCAUUUUCACAAGAUUGACAGGCUCAUUACAGCAAUAUUAACAUCUUCCUUUGAGCACUCACACUGUGCAAUUGUAAUUUUGCAUAUGUUGAUGAGCAGGCAAUUACAUCAAAGAGUGAACACUGGGCUGAUGUGCAAGGCACUAUUUAAUUAUAAAAACAGUAUAGGAUUGAGCCCUGUCACUGAGUCUUCCAUUCCUUCUAUCUCGCCUGUUUCUAAUUUAUUUCUCUAUUUCUUCAUUUCUUCCUUGACUGUCUUCAUUCUUUGCUUUUUAUUUCUUUCUCCUUAAAUGACAGACCUUUUCUUAGAUGCCAUUUCUCUAUGUCUGCGCUUAAGACAAGAAUUUUUUUCCUCCUAGUUGUUGGUUAAUGUCUGCAAAUGUGAGAGCAUGUUAACAUGACAAACAACAAGGAAUUUGAAAUAAACUUAAAUGAAACA